GAGCUACGGAACACAGAGAUCUGACGUGGAUUCCGCCAAAAGACAGCAAUGCGAAGUAACCAGUGGAUGCUCGUUUGUUCUGAUGUGUAACCAGCUUAGUGUCCCAAUGAAAAGCGGACUGCACUUCUCCCAUGUGGACUACAACAACAACAACCCCUACCCUGAAGAC
This is a long non-coding RNA of Symsagittifera roscoffensis, 169 nucleotides long. RefSeq lists it as uncharacterized. The record is from RefSeq and is a predicted model, not a curated record. The transcript has 3 exons. Lineage: Eukaryota; Metazoa; Xenacoelomorpha; Acoela; Convolutidae.